This is a long non-coding RNA of Dermacentor silvarum, 3036 nucleotides long. RefSeq lists it as uncharacterized. The record is from RefSeq and is a predicted model, not a curated record. Lineage: Eukaryota; Metazoa; Arthropoda; Arachnida; Ixodida; Ixodidae. The transcript has 3 exons.
UAUUGCACACGGCAUUCUGUCUAAAUCUAUAUUAUAUAAUUGCUGUGCUAUUUUAUUUUAUUAUUUUUAUCUCAUGUACUAUUUUAAUAUGAUUGUGUUGUUUAUUUUGUUGCUUUUGUAUAGUUUAAAUAAUCUCAAGAAGUGACAGUUCCCUGAAAUAUAAACAAUAUUACAUAAUUGCUAUCUUUUUAUUUCGACGUGCUAUAAAUCAUUGCAUCCAAAGUUCGCCUUUAUCUCUUGCCUACCCUAAUUCGAUAAUUUUUGGUUGGUGCACGUGUAGGUAUAGCAAUCGGUAUUAGUAUUGUGCUAAUUGCUUGUUGCUACGAAAUAACUUUUUCUAGCAAAUGAACGUAAAAUUUCAAUUUUCGCGCCAAAAUCCUGAAAAUUGUCCUUAACAAAAUGGCGCCUACAGUAAUCAACAGCCUUUCAUUUAUACUUUAAAGACAAAACCUUGUGAACGUUGCGUUAUUGUAUAAUUAUUAUUACAUAUUAUUACAUUUAAUAUUAUAAAAUAAUAACGUAAAUAUAGUAGCAAUAUUAAAGAAGAAUUGGCAAGAAGCAGUUUGGCGCAACGUCUCGCAUUUUCCUUCUGCCUGCUUUGGCGGCGUAUUUGCGUUGCGAUUGCGUCAUUCUUCUCGGAGCCGGAGUGAACUUCAAGUCGCGUGUUUGCAUGAGUUUUUUGAAGUGCUGUUGGGGCUGGGGCUGCGUGAUCGUCACUGGCGUCCUCCAGAGUGCCCACCGAUCAGAAAGUCGUACGAACCGCAAGCUUUGAACGUCUGUUUAUCGCACCCUCGAAAGCGGCGGCACAGAAGGCGCGAUGUGAGCUCCGGUGGGAACAGCAGCCCUUUGUCUCGUAACGGUGCCGUCCAGACUGGCCAUGAGACCAGCGAAUUUGCUGUAGAAACAGCCAUCUGGGAGUGGCUGCGUCACGCUCCUGCCAGGCACAGAACUGCCAUUGCCAAGGACUGUGCCACUGAACAGCCCGGAUAUGUGCGACAUGGUUCCCUCGGCCUGUUGCACAUUUACCUAUCACCCGCAGCAUCUAGCUGCCAGAGUGACCUUGCUUUCUUCAGCGCUGUGCCACUGAACAGCCCGGACAUGUGUGACAUGGUCUCCUAGGCCUGCGGUACUUUCGCCGAUUACCCGUGGCGUCGAGCUCCAGUGUGCCGAGUUGUCCAAUACUGCCAAGUGCUUUAUGAUGCCACCAAUGUGCCAAAUGCUCUAGUACUGUUAUGUGCUUCGCCACUCUGCCUUGCGCUCUCCACAUCUCUCCAGUAUAUAAAGUGUCCCAUCGCGUCUCCAUUUGUGAAGUGCAUUACCAAGUCGCCAAGUGCUCCAGUACUGUGUUAUGUGCUCCGCUGCUUUGCCGAGUGCUCUCCGUUUCUACAGUAUACCAAGUGCCCCAUUGCAUCUCCAUUUUACCAAGUGCUCCAAUAUUGUCAAAUGCUUGACCAGGUCUGGAAUGUGCCAUGUGCUCCACUGCUGUGCCAAGUGUAUACUUUGUAAAUGAUAUACAUGCCUUAAGUUCAACCAAUAGCUCUACUGCAUAAUUUAUCCAUACAGUUGGUCUUCAGAUAGACUUCUAUGUCAGUAUGUACACAUAUUGUAGAGUUGUGUUACUGUUCCUGUAGAGUAGAUGUGGGUCAACAUGUUUUUUCUUCAUAGAAGGCUACAGCGCGGAACCAACAAAGACAAAGAACACAGACACAGUGUUGACUUUCAACAAGAAUCAGCUUUCUGAAAGUCAGUGCUGUGUCUGUUCUUUGUGUGCCUCUCCUGUCUUCGUCGGUUCCGCGCCAUGGCCUUCUACGAUGUUCAAGCAGCAAGCCCAACUGGUUACUCUGCUCAAAUGUUUUUCUACCAUUCUUGGCACCUUUGUGCCGUUUCCUAUAUCAAGUGCCCAGCUUGCUAUGCAACUGCCGAGAUUUGUCACACCAGCGUGCUGCUGCCAUUGAUGUCAUCAUUGCUAAUACAGCCUUCAUAAAUAACAACAUAAACUUGGACAGCACAAUAUUAUUUUUAAAUUUUCAUUUCAUUCUAAUAUAUAAAGAAGGUUGUACUUAUUUGUUUAUUUCUACUAACAUUCUGCAGAUAUCACAAGGACCAUGCAUUGCGUUUAAUGUUUUACUCACAGAAGAUGUGUGCAUCACUCCUGGAAGUUUGUAGUUUGUGUAUUUCUAGUCAGGUUUUGUGGAUUUUGCUUCGACCAACUUUCUAGUCACAUUUCGCAGAUUUUACUUGCACAUCUAUUGAUUUUGUUUUACUUGCACAUGAAUUGUCUGCAUUUUGACAAGGUCACAAAUAUAUCUGAGAAAAUAUUGAGCUUUAUGCUGCCAGAUGUAAGAGUUGCGUGUUCAAAAGAACUCUUGUUCAAGUUCAUGCUAUUCAUCGCUUCGACAUUUCAGGUCUUGCUGUUCAUCUUAGUAUUUUUUAUGCAAUAUUGUCUUAGCUGCAUUUUAUGUAUGGUAUAACAGGGAUUCCUCAGCGAGAGCUUGAGGUAUACUUUGCAAGGGCAUUAUUUAGGGAUUUAUUUCUCUGGUUUAGCUAGUUCUAUAUUUUCUAAGCAACGAUAUCCUAAAAUUCUGUAUGAUAUAGGUCUCAUUUUUGCUGUUCAACAUAGCUUUCAUUUUGUUAAACAUAUCCUGAAUAAAAGCUUGAGAUACUCUUUGAGGAUGUACGCGUGAGUUUGUUUUAGUUCUAUUUUUUUCUAUGAAAGGUUACUUUAUUAUGUGUAAUGCUUGUUCUAAAAUAAAAUUUUGCUGUGGAACCAAAGUUUCAAGGCUGGUAUCAUUUUUCUAUCACGUGAAAAAGACACUACACGAUUGCCGCACAUGCUGGGGAAUGUAUAAAAUUACAUCUUGGGAACGUACUUAUUACGUAUUUCGGCUCAAAACUAAUAUCCAAACAAUGUAACAAAUGUCCAGCAAUUACAUCCAUAUAACAUCUUUUCAACGUAAAAAAAGAGGACUUUUGACAGUACCACCUACGUAGAUUUUACGUAAACUAGAUCUAUUUGAACCUCUAAUAGAGGUAUUG